GCCUAGUAACUGUUAACUGAGGAAUGACUGAAUGGGUGGAUGCACAAUGUGUCAAACAUGCUGAUAAUUCACAAAUUUUUAUCUCCCAGCGCAGAGCUUUUAUGCAGAUGACUGAACCCGUGGAGUUAGGUGGCUGAGAGGAUGCAGCUUCCCAGGUCUCUACAACUGAUGGCAGCAAGAUGGGAGCACCCAGCUACAGUGUUCAGAAGUAGAUUUAGGCAGACUACCACACCUUACAUGCUAGAGGGAUCCACACUGACCUGAGUAGGGCAGGAUAUUGAUGUACAACAAGAUUCUCUGAUCAGAAAGAGAGGCAGAACUAGCAGCCUGGCUUCAGAGGUGAAGAUACAGAUGUCAGUAGUGACCCAGGUGCAGUGGAUCCCCAGGUUGCAAGUCAUAUAACCUGAGCAUGCCCAGAUGAACCAAGUAUGCCUGAUUGGUGAACCUGGAACUGGCCAGAACAGAAAAUGUCAACCACAUGUGGAAUCUAAGUAUUCAGAUUGAGAAAUGAGGACCAAAAUGAGAAGGAUGGGAGCACUCAGCUUCAGUGUUCAGAAGCAGAUUUAGGCCAAUUGCCAUACCUUACGUUCUGGAGGGAUCCACCCUGACCUGAGCAGGAGGCAUCACACACAUUCCCAAGCAGCAUGGUUCCCGUGAGAAACUGAAAACUAAUUUCUUGAAUCUACAAUGCGACUUCCAUCUUCCAGGUGUAACCAGAGUUUUUCCUGGAGCGAUUCCAGCUUGUUUCCUUUUGGUGCCUUCCUUAAGAAAUUUUGCAGCUGUUUCUGGUGCAGUUUUUGGGUGGGCUCUGGGGUGGGCAGACGAUCUCCACUUUGCAGAGGCUGCUCUUGUGAGUGGAGCUGGUGGUGAGGGAGUAGGAGAGGCCUCGCAUCAUCCUGGCAUUCAGGCCCUUAGCCAUGGAGAAGGACUUGAGGUGGCUUCUUAAGGUACUGGGGAGCGGGAGCUUGUCCACCAGAUGCACAGGUGUGCAGGACACGAUGGUGCGGCAGCAGAGGUCUUGCAAGCUCAGUACCUUGCUCGGCCUCCCGAGCCAAUUCAUCCUGUGCCGCAGCAGCACUAUCCUGGCCAGCUCCGUGAAAGACUCUAUGAUGUUGAAAUUGCACAGAGGGCUGACCUCAAAGAAGGUCACACCCAGGCG
This 1159-nucleotide long non-coding RNA is filed under the name Homo sapiens (human). RNAcentral describes it as "long non-coding RNA NONHSAT222882.1". The record is from RNAcentral. Lineage: Eukaryota; Metazoa; Chordata; Mammalia; Primates; Hominidae.